GUUAAACGCAGCGUGAUGCGGAUCUGCCAUCGAUUUAAUACGUCUUCAUCCAAAUAGAUCUCCCUGAUCAAUUUCUUUUUAUGGGCACCGUAAAAAAAGAAAAUACUUUAUGGAGAAGUAAUCUCCACUUCCCGCUGACUGGGAGGAAGGGCAUUUAGGCGCGGGCCGUGCGGAAAGGACCAGCCGAGGGCCAAGCCGGAGCGGAAGGGGAGGACCGGCCAUCCUCGUCGCCCCCGCCCUCUGGAACUGGGCCCUCCGACAGUUUCGAGCCCCGGGUUCCUUCCCGUUCGCCCCCCUUCUGGGCGUUGUCGCCGUGAGGCCCGAUCUCUCCCUCCUGGAGCCCCCGAAGAGGCCCCUAAAAUCCUCGGAGUCGGGAAUGGACUGACGGCGGGGCGCGGGCAACGCCGCUCCGGUAAUUUCCAAAGCAACGGGGGGAGAAACGAGUUUUGCGGUUUGUAGAGAAAUAAAGCACUUGGCAGAGUGGACGGCUCCGUGACUUUGAACUUGGAUCGGCCCCUUUGAUUCCUGCGGAGAUGACAGAGCCAGGCCAAGCGAGCGAGCGGGCGGGGAAAGCGGUUGGCAGCGUGUCUGGAUUUCUCCUCUGAAAGAGCAGGAAAUCUCCAUCUCCACCCACCCGUCGUCCAUCCAUCUCUAUCCAACUCUCCGUCCAUCCGCCACCCAGCUCUCUCCAUCCGUCGGCGCGACCGUCCAUCCGCCCAUCUCUCUAGCCAUCCGGCCGCUCGGAUGCUACGUCUAGCAGAUUGCAGUGUGAAGCUGCAAUUUUUUGAAAAACAACAACAACAACAACAAAAAACCCUUAGCCGGUCCUCUCAGGUUGCGGACCCCUUAUCCACCCUCCCCCCCCCCCCAACCCCCGGGCCUGCCCGGUGAUGUGGCGGGGCAGGACUCAGUAAAACUAGAGGACAGGGCCAAGUCGGGACUAGUGGAAAAUAAAAAAAAGCUGCCUAUUGCCGCCUGGCCCCCAAAUGA
This is a long non-coding RNA of Ornithorhynchus anatinus (platypus), 990 nucleotides long. RefSeq lists it as uncharacterized. Lineage: Eukaryota; Metazoa; Chordata; Mammalia; Monotremata; Ornithorhynchidae. The transcript is spliced from 3 exons. The record is from RefSeq and is a predicted model, not a curated record.